Molecule: non-coding RNA, 417 nt
Organism: Sorex araneus (European shrew)
Lineage: Eukaryota; Metazoa; Chordata; Mammalia; Eulipotyphla; Soricidae
Source: the annotation of a RefSeq genome assembly
AUGACCUGGGCUCUUCUCCUGCUCAGCCUCCUCAGUCAGGGCCCAGGAAGUCUGGCCCAGUCUGCUCUGACUCAGCCUCCCUCAGUGUCUGGGAAUCCAGGACAGACAGUCACCAUCUCCUGUACUGGGACCAGCAAUGACAUUGGGGACUCAGAUGGUGUCUCCUGGUACCAGCAACGGCCAGGAACAGCUCCUAAACUUUUGAUUUAUGAUACAACUUCUCGGCCCUCAGACAUCCCUGAUCGCUUCUCUGGCUCCAAGUCUGGCAACACAGCGACCCUGACCAUCUCUGGGCUCAAGCCUGAGGACGAAUCUGAUUAUUACUGUUGCUCAUAUACAAGAAGUAGCACUUUCCACAGUGGCUGCUCUACACAGGGAAGUGAGGUUCUCAACCUCCGCAGUUUGCUACACUUCUGA